AAACACGAGUCUCGCUGUCUCCUCCAUCUGAUAUCCAUUGUUUGUUGUUUCUGAGAUUAUUAGGGCGUGGCUACGUAUCUGUGGACACACAAGCACAUGUGGGGGGGGUUUUGGUUGUGGAUGCAAUGUUGGGUAAGGACACAAAUGUGUGGAUACGUAUUGUUGGAUACAUGAACUGUGGUUGGGUUAUAUUUUGAGGAUUUGGUGGAUACUUAGUCGUGGAUACGCAAUUUCCAUGUCUAUGUCGUCACUGACCACACCAUCAUUGUCCACAUCUCUCUGUGUCUCCAUAUAAUGUUACAAUUUUUCAAUUUUUAUCCUGAAUUAUACAACAUGUACGCACUCCCCUAUCUAUGCUUUCUUAUCUACACUUCCCCAAAUCAUAAACCC
This 390-nucleotide long non-coding RNA is filed under the name Brassica napus (rape). RNAcentral describes it as "long non-coding RNA (BNAP_LNC003132)". The record is from RNAcentral. Lineage: Eukaryota; Viridiplantae; Streptophyta; Magnoliopsida; Brassicales; Brassicaceae.